Molecule: long non-coding RNA, 1372 nt
Filed under: Vombatus ursinus (common wombat)
Lineage: Eukaryota; Metazoa; Chordata; Mammalia; Diprotodontia; Vombatidae
Description: lncRNA (ENSVURG00010013758.1)
Source: RNAcentral
GCAUCCCACCACAGAGAAUGACAUAGAGGUCAAAAUGUAAAGCAAGUUCUCUAUUUUGGGACUGAGACCUGCCUGACCAACUCCUUUAGGCUUCCUCCCUACAUGUCACAAAUCUGAUCCCUCUUACUGCAAGAAACUCCUUUUCAUUAAAGCUGCAAGUCUCGAAAGACAGGCUAACAUUGACAUCUCUUUAAUUUGCCUAUCACUCAUCUUGCCUCUCCCUUCUGGCAAUGUGAUCAUCAAUUAUUGACUUUGGAGUACACUUGGAAGCAUCACGAGUAACAUGUUCCAAACCACUUUUUGAAAUACGUCAUCAGACUGUGAAUUUCUGGCUUCAUCUGGCUGGUCUUACUACAUAAAGGCCCCUGGUAGGCAGAGUCUUACAGGAGGAGGAAGAGAAGGAAAUUCAGAUUCCUGCUGAGACUCCUUGGGGACAGCCAGACAUGAAGACCCUGAUGCUUUUAGGACUUGUGCUCUUGUGUAGCCAGUUCACACUGAGCUUGGCCCAGGAGGAAGAACAAGGCUCAAAAGUCAUCUCAGAGGUCGCUAACAGUUUGCAGAAUACUCUGACAAAUGCUGUGAAAGAGCUCAACAAGGUGGACUUGAUAAAAGAAAUUGAGGACGCACCAAUUAUUGGAAAUGUGCUGAAGGCAUUGAGUGGAAUGAUUGGGAAAAUAGUUUCGUUCAACAUUAAAAAUGCCCAACUCCUGAAAAUUUCCCUCACAGAAAAUCAAGACAAAAAGAGUCUCUCUCUCAGUGUGCCCUUGGAUGUCUCUCUGAGUUUGAACACAUUGCUUCUCAAGGCGAUUGAUAUCACUCUAAAUGCGAACACAUCACUUGAACUCACAACUGAAAAGAAUGAAGAUGGAGAAGCUCGCCUGAGUGUUUCCAAAUGUCAGACAAGCUCUCAACUUCUUAAAAUCUCAUCCCAGCAAACGGGUUUAUUUGGAUGGGGACUAGAAGCUUUAUCUAAAUCCGUGAGCCGACUUGCUGAGUGGGAGGUCAAGCAAUUAUUCUGCCCUUUGAUCAGAACCGUAGUAGGACUGGCGCCUCCAGCACUGGUAGGCGCUUUGCAUGAUGUGGUACAUGGGGACGUCACUGUUACUGUGUAAUUCUCCAUUAAAUGGACAAUAACUUCCCUCCUCCCCCAAGGAUAAGACCCUCUUGCUCUUCUUUUCCUUCUGCCUGAAGCCAUUUAAAGCCAGAGGACAACUUACUGGAUCUUGUGUCUGAUGCUUUUCCUCUGCUGACCCCUGCCAUGGUCUCCUUGCCUGGGCUUACUGGAGCCACUUUCCUUGCAUGAAGACUCUCUCUGGACAGUGUGUUCCUUUCCCCUGGUUUUCCUUACAAUAAACUUCCCACUAUUUCAGCA